UAAACAAGUUCAAAUUGAUUAGCAUUGGUCAAAAGAAUUGCGCCGCUUGGACUAGGGUUAGGGUUUUAAAGAAAGCCGCCACUUUAUGCCCCUCGUAGUCUAUAAAACUUGUACAUCGCAAGCUUCAUCUCGGUAGGUAUUAAUCUUUCUGUAUUAUUUAUAUUUUCGUCUGCAUUUCUUCCAUUUUUCAUCUAAUUAAUUAUGUGUCUUCAUUGCUUAAUUUUCAGCUUCUGUUGCUAUAUUAUAGCUAAUAUUUUGUUGAUAUGUUUCCUGAAAGUUGAAAUUUGACGUGGGUAGCGAUGAUUAUAAAGUAAUUCCUCGUACUGAUUGCUGUAGCCACGGCAUGACAGACCAUUUUACACCCAUAGAAUAUGAGCUUCCACCAUCUAUUUGUAUUUGUUUUCAUUUAUUUAUUUUUGAGUUUAAUAUCCAAUUUUGGAAGUUGUGAGGGGUAGAUCUCGGCUAGAUUACUUUGAAAUUUUGUUUGGUGAUGUGCCGAGUGUAUUCUAUGUUGCUAUUACAGGUGCGUAUUGCGAAAUUUAUGAUUGAUCAAUACAAUAGAUUGGAUUGAUUUAUACUUAACGUUAAUGAGAGAUUUGUGGUUGUUAGUGCAUUUCACGCACAGGGUUUAAGAUGUUCAUGUAAGUUGAAUUUUGUGCCUGAAUCUGAUUAUAUAUGUAAUGUGGCUUUUGAAGAAAAUAGGUGAAGACUUUUAAAAAAGCAAUCUUUUGAAAUGCUAACUUCUAAAGAACUUGUUUUUGAUGCAAUCUGACUCUAUAAGCUAAGGUGAAAGUUAAAUGUGCUCAAAAAUGAAUUUUAACAGUAGCCAAAUGUGCACGCAAACUUAAAAUUUGCUUUCAAGCAACUUUGUGAAAUACCUUCUUCCUAUAAGCACUUUUAAGUGUUUUUCUACUUUAUCUUAAACUUACGCUGCGCUUUUUUGGUGCCAAUACGUCAUUUAACAGUACUAUGCAACUAGCUCUAGUAACAAUAAUUGACAAACAAAAAAGUAGACGUCUAUCUAUUUUGAAAUCCCAAAAAUUCCCUAUUUAGGAAAAUUGAAUGUAAAAAUUAAGGGGCACAAUGGUGAGAAAGCUGUUAACAAUGGUUGCUACAGUUAAAAUUACUGUUAAGUAACUUCGUGAAAUACAUUUUUAAUCAAAAAUUUGAAAGUUAAAUAGUCAUGUGGGUCUUACUAAAGCUGCCAUUGUUGACUCCUUAAUUUUUGCAUUCAAUCUUUUUAAGCAGGACAUUUUUGACAUUUCAAAAUGGAAAAAGAUGAUUUUUUGUAUGUUAAUUAUUGUGGUUAAAGCUGGUUCUGUAGUACUGUUUAUAACGUUCAGAUUUUCUAUUAGAGUUCUUUUACUCUUUUGGAUGCUGAGAACAAGUUUGGCUUAAGUUUUUUAAAAAAUCCUCUUUUGAUUGCAUCAAUGUAGAAGUUAAUUAUCUUCAAACUUUGAAGAAAGAUUCUGCCUUGAAACUUGGUUCAUGGCAAAAAUCUUGGAUCAACUUUCAAGACAGAUUUGAAGAUCGACUUGGAAGUGUGAAGUGGGGAGCUUGUUGGUCCUCCCUUUCAGAAUUCAAUGAAUUUCCUCCCUUAUUUUUAAAGAGCGGUUCAUCAUUGGCAUAUUUUUUGUUAUGUGAUUGUGUUGCUCGUUUGACUAAUUGAAUAAUAUCCAAUAUGUUCUUGUUUUUCUAAUCAGCAUUAAUGGUACUUCAAAUUUUCAUCUUUAAUAAUCUUUUUGUAUGAAUACAUUCUUUGCUUUUCUUAUAAACAUUUUCAUGGUUUCAUAAUGUUUUUAUUAUAUUGAGGAGCUGGCUUUAUUAUUAAUCACAGUAGAAGGAAAUCGUGUUUACUGUGUGCAUUCUGCCUCUCCUUAUAUUGAAGUUCGGUGGUGUUUAAAGCCCUUAUUUGACAGAGUGGUUCUAGAAAUUUGGGUUACGCACACCUCCAAAGCCAAGAUUCAUCCACCAUUGUAAUUUAUAUUUCUCAUUUAACAAUUGAGUAAUCAGUAAGAUUCAUUAUCUUAGUUUUAUUUAAUUUUUAACUUUUUUAUACUCCUGUCCUCUAAUGACAAGUGUCACGGCCUUGGUCUUAACAUGUAAAAGAUUAUCUGUGACCGAGUUUGGCAUGUCUCACAACGGGGUGAUCCAAGUCAUUUUAAGUCUUUUUUUUAAAAAAAAUAAAUAAAUUAUGUUCAACCAUACAUUCUAUGGGAUUCAUAAGUUUUUCUUAUUUUUUAACAUCAUCAUUGAAAAAAAUAUCAUUUUUCACUUUGAAAAAUCUGUCCCAAACAUAAGCUAAAUCUUAACUAGUUCCUUGCAUUUCUUUCUUCCCCUUUCUUUGACUUUGGCUAUUUGCACUUUCUAUAAUCUGCUUAAUUUAUUAUUAUUAUUAUUAUUAUUAUUUUGCCUAAAUUUAUUCCCUGUUUGCUUUUAGUACCAAGUUCCAUGUCUUCUUGAUUAAUCAUCCUUAUCUGUGACAACAUUAAUCAAAAUCCUUGCUUGUCCUGAUUAUUUGUUAUUUUGAAAUGUUAGUUUAAAAAGUAAGGUGGUUAGCAAUGAUUAUAAAGUAAUUCCUCGUUCUGAAUGCCGUUGCCAUGGCUUGACAGAUCAUUAUUACACCCAUAGAAUAUGAGCUUCCUCCCAUCUAAAUGGUUAUUUAUUUUUCUAUUUUCAAUAUCUUUUGUUGAAUGGUGGGAAGGGUAGGUCUCAGCUAGGUUUAAUUAAAUUCUAUUUGACAAUACACCUUGGAAAUUUAUAUUGGUAACUAGAAUAGUUUGUAUUGAUGAUUUUUUAUUUUGUAAAUGAAAGUAGCAGUGCUACCUGGAGCAAUAGUGAUGUCAUUUGUAAUUAGCAGGAAUGAUAAAUUUGGAUUGUUGGUGCAUUUCAGUCAGGUACUGGGUUCAUGAGUUCCCUCAAGUUUGUAUUUUGGGCAUGAACCUGAUCAUGGAUUGCAUCAAUAAAAUCCUAUUUGGCACUUGCAAGUGACAAUUAUAAUUUAUAAUGCUCUCUUAAAUUGGUCACAAUGUAAUUGUUUGCAUUGACAUGAUCAUCAUAAUGUAGUGCUGUAAUAACAGAUCUAAAGAAAAAAAUAGAAUUGAAUUUGGAAAGGCCAACUCUUCCGAGACAGAUGUGCCUGGAAAGAAUGCUUUGAUUAAAUAAUCAAGACAGCAAGUUUACAUUGAUUAUAUAUUCAAUGCUAGAUUUAUAGCAUGUUUAGUUGUGUUUAAAAGUGGCUUUUUAGCUAUUUUCUUGGUAGCAUGUAGAGUUAGUAAAAAGCGGCUUUUAAGCAUGACCAAACUUGUUUUUAAUCUUUUGCAUUGAUUAUUUUAUAAUCAAGAUGAACUCUUUCUCUUGAUUAUUAAAUCAAUGCAGAAAGUAGAUUUUUUUGGUCUGUUUUAGAAGAAAAAUAAAAUUUGCACAUUGUUGUAAGCUAGCCCACUUAUGGGGCGAGCCAGUGGGCUGGUAUAGUCAACAAAACAGGCCAACCUAUCAUUUUUAUCAUGCUGCUUUCAGCUUCUGCACGUUGGAAACCUCUAACUAUGAGCAUGUGGCUAUGCUUAAAAGUAGCAAGAAAUUAUUUGCACAGGGAUUUAAGUAUGAGCUUUAACAGAAUUGAUCUCUUGCUCUUAAUAGUUGGAAAAGAGAAAUAAGGGCGCUGCUACUGUGAUAGAGCCGGGGACAGGCUCCUGUGACAGUUCAGAUCAAGGGCUGAGGUGGCCUCCUGUUGUAGGGGCCUGUCCCCAGCCCUGUCACAGUAGGAAAACUUGAGAAAAAAUGCAUUAUAAUAGAAUGGAAUCCAAACAGGGGCUAAGGUUGUUACAAUGAAGUUAUGUUUUUUACAGUUUGGUCACUGCUUGAGCCUAUGUUUUGGAGAAGGUGUAAGCUCUCAAAAUUAGAUUAAUUCUUGAAUUAACUUAUGAAAGGUCAUGAUCUUUGUUCUGAAAAAUGCUCAACAAACUCAAAACAUUCAAUUUCUGGGAUUAAUGUUUUGCUUUGCGCUGCAGUUUUGAAUUUGAUAUGAUGAUGAAAUGCCACAAUUAGGUUUUGAUAGUGUGUACACUUGAGGUAAUGUUUUGAAAACCAGUCCAGGUGGAUUUUCUGGAAAAAUUGUAUAUUGAUGUUGAACCAUAUUAAAAACUGGAUGAUAAAAAUCAGGGAGUUCUGAUAAACCAGUUGCUCAAGACUAACUGGUUAUGGGUUGAUACUUGAUCGAGUUUCUGAGUUGAUUUUAACUUAGGCUAAAGAUAAAAUAAUGUUACCUAGGUUGUUGCUCUAAAUAUUGAGAAUACAUCUGUAAACAAUUGGAGGCCUAGCAGUAUCAUUUUCCAAUUGAAUUGAUUAGGUUUCAUUGAUUUAUACUAAGCAAUUUAUUCUUUCAAAUUUUUUUACGUGUAUGAUGGUCUCUCAAUUACCAUUUGAGAUGAUUUUUUAUGCUGUACAGUUUUUAGCUAUCAUAAUGGUAAUGUUUCAUGCUUUCCUAAUGUUUUAUGAAGUGGACGAGUUUGGCUUUAACGUAGAAUAUAUGAAAUUUGCUUAUAUAGAGUUUAACUUGCACUGUUGUCCCAAUAUAUAUUUGGAAUCCAAACAGGGAGCCUAAUUUUUGGCUUUAGAGGUAAGAGUUUUGCUACACGUACAUCGAGAUUGAUAUUUCGGUGUACACUCCCCUCACAUGGAGGAUUCCAAGAUAUUUUUUUUUGUCGUGAGGCCUAUCCCCUUAUGUGAGGGGAGUGUACACCGGAGUGUCAACCUCAGUGUACAGAUAGCAUUUUCCUAGCGGUAGAAUAAUUGACGUUUACUUAUAUGGAGUUUAACUUGCACUUGUUGUCCCAAUAUAUGUUUGGAAUCCUAACAGGGCACCUAAUUGCUGCCCCCCUAUUGGAGGGGCCCUGGACGUUCGGUAUCUCUCUAUAUAUAGAGUGACACCUUGACCUUGGCCUAAAAUGUCAAAAAAUACCUAUGCCCUGCCCUGCUAGGGUGGGCUAGAUGCCCCAAGACUCAAGCUGUGGAGCUUUCUCGUGUUGGGCAUUUUGUAGUCGAUGGUGGCAUAGGUGACCCUACUCAUUUUUCUACACCUAGAGAGAAGACUCUAAUUCAACAGUCGAUGGUGGCAUAGGUGACCCUACUCAUUUUUCUACACCUGGAGAGAAGACUCUAAUUCAACUUUGAAAUGGCGUAAAAUGUCAAUUCAGGCGAAGAAUGACGCUCGAAUGGGACUUUAAAAUUUCUCACCAAAUUAAAGUAAUGAACAAUUAUGCGCCAAACUUGGUGAAAUAUUUGUUCAUUUAGUAUGAUAUAUGCUAAUGAUCUAAGAAUUUGGAAAAUAUUUUUAAAUUUAACCGUCAAGCUUUCUGUCAAAAUUUUGGUUAAGGUUUUUCGCCCUUUUGGGAGUUUUUAGUUGUGUUCGCAGUGUGGACACUAGAGUUUCUUCAGACCUGUCGACCAGUUUUCGAAGAUAUUCAAUUUGGGCCUUGGAAAAUCAGAGUGCACUUUUAAGUGGGAUGAAUUUUUUUAUUUUUGGCCCCGGGUCAUCAUUAUCAGGGCCCAUGAGCCCUGGACCCUCCUAUAGGUGGGGGCUUGUUUGUACAUACCCUCCCACCUAUAGGGGGGGGGGGUGCUACUUGGCCAACGAACAAAAUAAUUGAUUAAUAAUUCUUGGAUUUUCAAGCUAUAGGUUGGCUAAAAGUCCUCCAUGAUUUGAGGCAUAUGCAAAGUAAAGCAUUGAAAAAUCUUUAAUUUGGCCAUCCUUUUGGAAGUGCCCUUUGAUUUUCUAGAUCCAAAUUGAAUAUCUACAAAACGGUAAAGAUUUUAAUCUAUGUUCUGAUAAUUGUGGCUUCUGGUGUUUUGCCUCUCAAAUAGCUCAUAUCGUUGCCACUUACUUUGACAAUGAAAAUAUAAAAAUUAUUCCCAAUUCUUGGUCCCUUUUUGGCUCUCUAUGCAAAUGUCUAUACAUGAAGUAGAGACCAGUAUCUAGAAUAAUGGUAUUGUUGAAAUGGAAAUUGCAUAUAGUGCAGGUUGCACCUUUUUUGUUCAAGGAAAUUAAUGGUUGCUUCCAAAGACCAUUGGACAUUGUUCAAAUAGCAAAGAUUAACAUAUACCAAUAUUUGAAAUACAACAUUGUGAUGUGAGGUGAGAGGCAAAAAAAGGAACCAGUCUUGAUUUAUUAGUGUGAGAGCUUUAGACAAAUUAAUACCAAAAUUAGAGUUUUAGAAUGUAUAUUUUUUUAUGUAGUCUACAAAUUUCAAAUAAAAAAUUAUAUUAAGUCCCCGUUUGUUUCCCAUUAGUUGCUCAUUAAAAUGAAAAAUAUGAUCGUUAUCCAUCAUAUCAAGUCACCAUAUUUGACUUUCUAUCUCUUGGGAUUUGUAAUGGUUAUAUUUUUUAUUCUUAUUUUUACAUUAAUGUGUACCAAACGGGGUUUAAAAAUCGGUUCCAUUCGAAUAUCAACAAUUCUAAUUUAGAAAUCAAGAAUCAAUCCGAACCCAAUUGUUUCUUGAUUCUUUAUUCUCAGUUUCGGUUCCUAAAUUUCUUUUUUGGAGCCGUACUAGAACCUCCAGUUCUGGUUCAAUUUCGGUUUGGUCGAUUAAAAUGUCCAAGCCUUUCGUUAGAAUAUAUUUUCAACAUAUAUGGGGAGCAUCUUGCAUUGUCGCCAUACACUGACAUCCCGAUCCAGAUAACAUCUCUUCCCUAUGCAUGGGAAGCCCUUUGUGAAUGGUUGUCAAGGCUGGACAACACGUUCCAUUGUCCUGCCCUUUCCCCCUUCUCUGAUCCUUCCUCUAAGAGAAUAUUUGAUCGACGGUCGCUCAAAGUUCUCAGCUGUUAAACGAAAGAGUUUUUAAGCACAAGUCAAUGCCUUAGGUGCCUAUCUGGAAUUUGUCUAGAUGCGGAUGAGGAAGAGCAGACUGGACAUGCCGAAGACUAAAACAAAACAUUUCUCAGCUUUCAAGCUGCGAAGAUAUAUCUGCAACUAUUCGGCGUCAACCCUUUGAGGUGGCUAAGAUUGUCAUUUCCCUUGUAAUUAUUUGAGCUACUGAAGAGCAUUAUUUCUGAUCUAUAUCUCAGCAUUCCCGCCAUUGCAUUGCAACAUGUUAGUCGUCUAGCAUGUUCAGGGAAAUGCGGCAAACGUAUAAGAUCGUAUACAAGUGAUAGUUAAAAGUGGUUAAAGUUUUGUUCCCACGAUGAAUAAACUUUAAUUUAAGUUGUAUUGCUUCGUGAUCAAAUGCGAAGGUGACAAAAUCAAUUGAUGAAGUGAAUGGUUUGUAUUAACUACGAAGAAUCAUGUUAAAUACUACAUAAGUGCACGUGAAAAUGAUUUUGAAAAAAGUAUAUAUGAAAAAU
Molecule: long non-coding RNA, 7338 nt
Filed under: Olea europaea subsp. europaea
Lineage: Eukaryota; Viridiplantae; Streptophyta; Magnoliopsida; Lamiales; Oleaceae
Rfam family: Small nucleolar RNA snoR8a (bases 291-381)
Source: RNAcentral